GGGGGACAGGGAGUGCGAGGCAACGAGCUGAAAGCACCUGAGCUGGAGGAGCUUAGAAGGGCUUCAGCUGUCGGCGGCCAUCUUGAAAGAAAGAAAGAAAGGAAAGAAAGAAAGAAAGAAAUAUAGGGCCUGGGUCACUGGAGGGGGAGAAAACACAAUGGCUCAAAGAAAGAAAGAAAGGGAAGGAAACCCAGCAGAGUCCCUGAGAACAAAGAGCCCAGGAAUGCAAUCCCAGGAUAGACAAGGAUUUGCAGCGGCCUGGGCACCUGAGAGGCAAUGAUACAGAUACAACUUCCUUUCCGGCAGCAGUGGAGCAUCUAGCAUUUACAUACCCCACACUGCUAGAUUUCUUCCCACGUGGGACAGUCACGGAUGAGGACCAUUGUCCCUGCUCGCAACACCUGCAUCUAUUCACAUCUGAAAAACCUGAAAAGUAUAUUCCCAGAUAUAAAAUUACCUAAAAAUGGAGGUAAGCUUGUGAGUACAUAUCAGGGACUCAGAAUAAAAUAAGAAUAUUGGUAUCCCCAAAGCAUUAUCCUUAGAUCAUGUGUUGCAGAAGCGGGGAAGGCAUGGAGUGAGUAGUACAGGAUUACAGGAACAGAAGUGACAAGUCUGGCUAUUGAGACAGGUGUUGACUGCCUCCCAUGGAGAACAGAUUCUCCUCCUUUUUCUGCAACAGAGUUUUCAUGCACUGCUGGGCUCUUGGAGUGGAAUGAGCUAGAGUUAGACACCUCAGUCCCCUUUACAAUGCAUGAGGAGAAUUAGGGGCCUUGGAGUGGAAUCCCCCACUUCUGGGCCACUGCACAGAAGAUACCUAAGCCAUCCAAAAAAAAAACCCACUGAAGGAAAGGGGUUGCCUGAAAUUCCUCAUCAUUCUCAGGCUUAGGUGCCCAUAUGACAUAGAAGACUCAGCCUCAAAAACCCUCUAAAUUGUCCCUUCUCUUCAUUAUUGGCCUUGGUAAUGCUGGUGUUCAUUUUUAAUGUAAUAUCCUUUGGUUUCAGCCAAGAAGCCUGAGGAGACCUAAGGAAAGGGCCAAACCCAAGUCUCCCAAGGAAGCACACCAACUACUAGGCUAUAGAAGAGAUGUGUGGGGGCACACACCCCCACACACCCCCUGUUGAAGCUGCCCGCUGUGCAGCCAGGCAUGCAAAAUUCAUAGGGUAGAAAGGGAGAGCACCAGAAGGGACCAUGAUUUUGUAGCCCAGC
Molecule: long non-coding RNA, 1207 nt
Organism: Alligator mississippiensis (American alligator)
Lineage: Eukaryota; Metazoa; Chordata; Crocodylia; Alligatoridae
Exons: 3
Source: RefSeq, a predicted model, not a curated record